This is a non-coding RNA of Zea mays, 73 nucleotides long. NCBI's taxonomy places the organism in Eukaryota, Viridiplantae, Streptophyta, Magnoliopsida, Poales, Poaceae. The record is from Rfam.
GCUUGUCUAGCUCAUUCGGUAGAGCGUAAGACUCUGAAUCUUGAGGUCUUGGGUUCGAGCCCCAUGGUAGGCG